AGAGUUUGAUUAUGGCUCAGGACGAACGCUGGCGGCGUGCUUAACACAUGCAAGUUGAACGACGGUCUUUUGAAGUAGCAAUACGGAAGAAGAUACGGAGUAGCGGACGGGUGAGUACAACAUGAGAAGCUAUCCCAUAAAGGGGGACAACGUUUGGAAACGAACGCUAAUACCCCAUAGGCCGAAAGGUUAAAGCAGAAAUGCGAUAUGGGAGGUGCUCGUGCCCUAUCAGCUAGUUGGUGAGGUAACGGCUCACCAAGGCGACGACGGGUAGCCGGCCUGAGAGGGCGACCGGCCACACUGGAACUGAGAUACGGUCCAGACUCCUACGGGAGGCAGCAGUGGGGAAUAUUGGGCAAUGGGAGAAAUCCUGACCCAGCAACGCCGCGUGAACGAUGAAGGCCCUUGGGUCGUAAAGUUCUUUUGUGCGGGAAGAAGAAAGUGACGGUACCGCACGAAUAAGCCCCGGCUAACUACGUGCCAGCAGCCGCGGUAAUACGUAGGGGGCGAGCGUUGUCCGGAAUUACUGGGCGUAAAGGGCACGCAGGCUGUGCCGCAAGUCGGCUGUAAAAUGAUGCGGCUUAACCGUGUCACGCAGUCGAAACUGCGGUGCUGGAGUACCGAAGAGGCAAGUGGAAUUCCCAGUGUAGCAGUGAAAUGCGUAGA
RNAcentral lists this ribosomal RNA (666 nucleotides) under uncultured bacterium. RNAcentral's name for it is "bacterial SSU rRNA". It matches the Rfam family "Bacterial small subunit ribosomal RNA", at positions 8 to 694 of the family's 1533-position model. The record is from RNAcentral.